This 324-nucleotide long non-coding RNA is filed under the name Vulpes vulpes (red fox). Its description in RNAcentral is "lncRNA (ENSVVUG00000015585.1)". Lineage: Eukaryota; Metazoa; Chordata; Mammalia; Carnivora; Canidae. The record is from RNAcentral.
AUGGCAGCCUGCCAGAACCAGUCUCCCAGCCCGGGGUCCUGCGUGGCUCUGGGACGCAGGGUACCAUCCCAGCCCACCUUGGAGGUGCUUCCUGAGACAGAAGUUAACAUUUGUGCUACUGAAGGUGUCAUGAGGACAGGUUUGUGGGCUCCAAGUGUGUCCUUCUGUGAAAGCCUGGGAGGGAUUUCUACCUUUCCUUUGCGCUCUGGAAGUUUGUGCCUGCCCAGUGACCUUGAGCGUGAGGCCUGUGACUUCCCAUUGUCCAGGCUGAAGAAACAAACAAAAGAUUGCCUCUAUGGGAUUGUGGAAUGUUUAUUAUUCUAA